CUAUGCUACUGUGAUUUUAUUUACUUCAACUGUGGUGUUCCUGUUCUAGUACUGCUAGACCUCAGCUAUUAUUUCUAGUGUUAGAUUAAUAUUCAAGGAUGGUAUCACAGUACAUUACUAAAAUUUUAUACAUAUGAUGAUGAUAUCUAUUACGGUAUUUUAAUGAGAGUGAGUUGUUCAUGUAUAAAAACUUCUUGAUUUCAGGCCCAUUGCACCGAUUUCCUAAACCUGAAUACCCACAUUUGGAAAAGUUUAACUCGUGGAAAAAAGUACUAGAUAAAGCUUUACAAGAAAGGCGACAUCUACAUUUAUAACCAAAUUCGAUUUUGCGACAGACAUUUUGAAGAGUGUUACCGUUCAGCCAGUCACCGACUUACUCCAAAUGCAAUACCAACUCUAGAUUUAUCUACAUUACCAGUUGGUCAAACUCUUGAAGGUCCAUCGGGACAUGUCGAGGCAGACAUGUCGAAUUUAUUAAACAUUUCGCAAGAUAAACUUGCUGUCAUUGAGCCAUCCAGCUCUACCCACUAUCAUAGUGAUGUACAGAAUGCAUUACAGACAGCUGAACGCCCUAAAGGUUCUAGGAAAAGAGGGACUUGUCAAUAUUUAAAACGAGUCGUCACCUCCAAAGAGAAGGAGAUAAUAAAGUUAAAACAGAAAGUAUUGAAGCUGAAAAAGAAAUAUAAGGAACAAAAUAACAAGAAACUCUCUGCAAGGAAAAUUUCCACAUCAAAAUCAUUUUUGAAAGAGUUAAAUAAAAUGCCUGCAACA
Long non-coding RNA from Helicoverpa armigera (cotton bollworm), 771 nucleotides. RefSeq lists it as uncharacterized. The record is from RefSeq and is a predicted model, not a curated record. NCBI's taxonomy places the organism in Eukaryota, Metazoa, Arthropoda, Insecta, Lepidoptera, Noctuidae. The transcript is spliced from 3 exons.